CGCCAGCUUCCCGCGCUCCCCCGGGGAGACCCGCGCCGCGGUGCCCCUGCGCCUGCCCCUCCGCCCCGGGCGGCGCCCUCCGCUUCAGUAUGGCACUUGGAAAAUUUUAAAUUGCAUAUGUGGCUCACCUUUGUGGCUUGCAUCACAUUUCCACUGGGCAGCACGGACCUAGAAUUUCAUUUUUGACUCAGGCCACCCUGGUCAUGUCCUGGUAAUCUACAUCUACGUAAGAACUGUUUGCUCGAAUCAAGACUCCACUAACAGCAACCGUCAAGAGGAAUCUUGGGAUAGAUGGUGGAUGAUAAAAGCGUUUUAGACUGAUGGCUUCUGAAGUCUGGAACAGUCAAGAUGGAGGACCCAGAUAAACCCUGGGCCACAAACGGAUGUUUGUCUGUAUAACUUGUGGUUAAACAGAUAAUAGCUCAAAAGAAAAAAAUGUAUUCCUGAGCGACUCCGAAGUAGAUGCUGUUGGAAAUGCUGCCAUCUUGCCCACUCUUCCCCCUCCAAGGAAGGUACCAUCUGAGAAGGCUAUUGGAACAUACUGUUCCCUCAGAGCAGGGAGAGGGAAUUGGAGGCUGUGCUAACACAGGAUAGAUGCUCCUGAAGAAUCAGAUGCAAUGCAGGUCACGAGAUAGCUUCCAGCUUUUAUUUGGACAAUGGCAAGCACUGGUUGGAUAAGCAGGUAUGCUUAGAAUGGGAAGAGAUGGGAUAGAAGAGAACCAGAGAGAAGGGUGCUUGAGGAAUACGAAGAAUAAAGGGAUUUCAAGAAAGGUGCGCUCCACAGAGUCAAAUGUUGCCGAGAGGACAAAUAAGCCAAGGUUGGAAAACUGUUGACCGUGACGUUGAGGAGGAGGAAGAGGGCAGUAA
This is a long non-coding RNA of Hyaena hyaena (striped hyena), 867 nucleotides long. RefSeq lists it as uncharacterized. The record is from RefSeq and is a predicted model, not a curated record. The transcript has 6 exons. NCBI's taxonomy places the organism in Eukaryota, Metazoa, Chordata, Mammalia, Carnivora, Hyaenidae.